GUUAGGUAAAUCCGGCUCUCUUUAAGGCUGAGACACGACGUCGAGCACCUACGGGUGUGAAGUCAUUGAUGCCAUGCUUCCAGGAAAAGCCUCUAAGCUUCAGAUUGUAAGGAAUCGUACCCCAAACCGACACAGGUGGUCGGGUAGAGAAUACCAAGGCGCUUGAGAGAACUCGGGUGAAGGAACUAGGCAAAAUGGUACCGUAACUUCGGGAGAAGGUACGCUCUUGAUGGUGAAGUCCCUUGCG
RNAcentral lists this ribosomal RNA (247 nucleotides) under Vibrio parahaemolyticus. RNAcentral describes it as "partial 23S ribosomal RNA". It matches the Rfam family "Bacterial large subunit ribosomal RNA", at positions 1531 to 1774 of the family's 2925-position model. Lineage: Bacteria; Pseudomonadati; Pseudomonadota; Gammaproteobacteria; Vibrionales; Vibrionaceae. The record is from RNAcentral.